AAGUCGUAACAAGGUUUCCGUAGGUGAACCUGCGGAAGGAUCAUUAUUGAAUGAACUUGGUGUGGUUGUCGCUGGCCCUCUUGGGGGCAUGUGCACACCUACCAUCCUCAUCUCUCCACCUGUGCACCUCUUGUAGAUUUGGAAUUGAUUAUCCGAGGCAACUCGGUCGUGAGGACUGCUAGCACUUAGCUGGCUUUCUUUGCAAUUCCAGGUCUAUGUUUUUCAUAUACCCCAUUGUAUGUAACAGAAUGUAUCAUUGGGCCCUUGUGCCUAUAAACCUUAUACAACUUUCAGCAACGGAUCUCUUGGCUCUC
RNAcentral lists this unclassified non-coding RNA (314 nucleotides) under Hebeloma sp. RNAcentral's name for it is "partial internal transcribed spacer region". The stretch from base 1 to 46 matches the Rfam family "Eukaryotic small subunit ribosomal RNA", at positions 1786 to 1831 of the family's 1831-position model. Lineage: Eukaryota; Fungi; Basidiomycota; Agaricomycetes; Agaricales; Hymenogastraceae. The record is from RNAcentral.